UUGUCCUCAUUUGAUUAUUUUCCCUUUUUAACGAAACUCGUUAGUGCACGUGGGGGUGCGCUCAGACUACCACUGCGGCGUGUGGAAGGUCUGUGGCUGGAAGAAGCCGAAAGCCCUGGAGGUCGUCCAGACGGAGCAGAUGGCCACCUGCAUCAACGUCAGGUAUGCUUUGGUCAGUUUCGUUUGCGCUAAAUAAAACGGGCGACUUCAGUCUUCCCAGUGAAGUCCUCGAGAGAUAAAGGUCUGAGUCCAAAAUCUUUAGAAAUCGGGGAGUUUCUUUUUGCAAUCCCAGGAUUUAGCAGAAUCGAUAUUCUGACUUAUUAUAUGGGAUGAGGUCGUAACAAUAGGUCUAGAAAACGGGGAAAGUGUUCUCGUAUUUUUUAAUGUAAUACUUGUAACCUGAAGCAGCCGAUUUGCAUUUCCUUGUGGUGUCUUAACAUUAAAUGCUUACUUUAAAGCUGAUUUGCUCUGUCAUGUUAGAGAUGUUCAUCCGCAACGGUAUACCUUUAUGCAUUAUUCAAGCGCAUUUACUCCAUGCUGCAGUGUUUAUAUUCCUUUAUGGCCUUCUUGUUGUCUGCUAGCCCCCAUCUUCCAGGAGAGCUGCUUGUUGCCACAGAGAGUGGAAGUGCGUAUCUGUGGACUGUUGGGAAAGGGUUGCAGAAGCUCCGGGCCGAAGCGGAGAACCUGUACUUCAAUGCCCAGUCGGCGUGGAGGUGGUGCGAUCACACCGCUCACCCCAGGAUCGUGAUU
This 750-nucleotide long non-coding RNA is filed under the name Lepisosteus oculatus (spotted gar). RNAcentral describes it as "lncRNA (ENSLOCG00000021100.1)". Lineage: Eukaryota; Metazoa; Chordata; Actinopteri; Semionotiformes; Lepisosteidae. The record is from RNAcentral.